This 250-nucleotide ribosomal RNA is filed under the name uncultured bacterium. RNAcentral describes it as "partial 16S ribosomal RNA". It matches the Rfam family "Bacterial small subunit ribosomal RNA", at positions 524 to 773 of the family's 1533-position model. The record is from RNAcentral.
UACGUAGGUGGCGAGCGUUGUCCGGAUUUAUUGGGCGUAAAGCGCGCGCAGGCGGUUCGCUCCGUCCGGUGUGAAAUCUCCCGGCUCACCUGGGAGGGGGCGCUGGAGACUGGCGAACUGGAGGCAGGGAGAGGUCGGUGGAAUUCCCGGUGUAGUGGUGAAAUGCGUAGAGAUCGGGAGGAACACCAGUGGCGAAAGCGGCCGACUGGACCUGACCUGACGCUGAGGCGCGAAAGCGUGGGGAGCGAAC